Molecule: transfer RNA, 72 nt
Filed under: Actinomycetes bacterium
Lineage: Bacteria; Bacillati; Actinomycetota; Actinomycetes
Also listed under: 1 other name
Description: tRNA-Val
Rfam family: tRNA
About the family: Transfer RNA (tRNA) molecules are approximately 80 nucleotides in length. Their secondary structure includes four short double-helical elements and three loops (D, anti-codon, and T loops).
Source: RNAcentral
GGGCGUGUAGCUCAGCGGUAGAGCAACGGUUUUACACACCGUAGGUCGGGGGUUCGAGACCCUCCGCGCCCA